Non-coding RNA from Leucogyrophana mollusca, 85 nucleotides. NCBI's taxonomy places the organism in Eukaryota, Fungi, Basidiomycota, Agaricomycetes, Boletales. The record is from the annotation of a GenBank genome assembly.
GAACCCGUGGCGCAGUGGUAGCGCGUAUGAUUCCAGUUCUAGUUGGAUAUCCAUAAGGUCAUCCGUUCAAUCCGGGUCGGGUUCA